AACUGAAGAAAGGCGUGUUGUUUACUGUUGUUACCGCGUGUUCGAAAAAAAAGAAAGUGGGCAGCAGAUCCCUUUCGAAACGCUUUCUAUUCGAUCUGAGAAUUGCGAAAACAACUCCAAAUUCCUCAAAUUCCUCAAAUUCUGGUAAGCUCACUUUUCUUUUCACUCACUCCGGUCUUCUAAAUCUAACCCCUUUUUUCUUUCUUUCUAUUUAUUUUCUGUUUGAAGAAUAAAAGGGUUCCUUUUGAUUACGAUCUUUUGUUCGGAAUAGUGUUGCUUAUUGAUUUAGUUUAGUCCAAAUCUUAUUCUUUGUGUCAAGAGAAGGUGUUAAUCAGUCUGGCUAAUGGGAAAAAAAAUCACAUUAAAAGGGGCUGCGGAUAGUUAGCUGAUAUAGAUAUGGUAAAAUUUCAUGGUAAUUUAAAAUGUUUGAUGCAUCAUGCAUGGAGGUUUAAAUUGCAUGGUUUAUUAUGGCAAAUUUUACCAUUUUCACUUUCUGGGUUUGAUCGUACUAUAUGUUAUGGACUGUUAUAAUCUGUUGUCGAGUGGUGGUGGAAUUUGAGAACUCUACGAACAGGCUUAACCAUAAACAAGAUCAUGCGGCAAGUAUAUAACUGUAAACAAGAACAUGUGACAAGUAUAUAAAACCACUGGCAGGAUUUGUAGACUCUAUUGCUGCUGUCUAGAUAUGAAGAUGAGUAUGCAGUGAAGUUUUCACUAAUUGAAGGCUAUUAACCCUUGCUUCGGUUGGGGCAAUUUUGUUUUUGAAGCAGAAUGGUUAUUCAUAUUUCUACAAGGAAUUGUGCAUAAUAAAUCACGCCAGGAGGCAAAGGGUAUUGAUAAACCUGCAAGUACUUGUAUUUGUCUCUAGGAAAGAUGCAGAAUCAGGAGGGGGUGGUAGCUGAUGGAGAAAAGGAGUCCGCUGUAUCCAUUCCUGUAUCUGAAUUUGAUGAUUGGGCAAAAUUUGCAGAUGAUGAUAUCAUGCAGCAACAAUCUGCCUUUCAUGCUGAGGAAGCCAAGAAAGUUCCAUUUGUAGGUGACAAGGUGAGAGCAACAUGAUUCUUUGAGAUUAAUAGACAUGGUUGCAUUUGCCUUAAAUAUUGGGUGAUUUUUUGUUUUGAACGCUCAGUGUGCUAUUCUGCA
RNAcentral lists this long non-coding RNA (1140 nucleotides) under Theobroma cacao (cacao). RNAcentral's name for it is "long non-coding RNA (TCAC_LNC000864)". The record is from RNAcentral. Lineage: Eukaryota; Viridiplantae; Streptophyta; Magnoliopsida; Malvales; Malvaceae.